UACGGAGGGUGCAAGCGUUGUUCGGAAUUACUGGGCGUAAAGCGCGCGUAGGCGGUUUGUUAAGUCAGAUGUGAAAGCCCAUGGCUCAACCAUGGACGUGCAUUUGAUACUGACAGACUUGAGUAUUGGAGGGGGUGGUGGAAUUCCCGGUGUAGAGGUGAAAUUCGUAGAUAUCGGGAGGAAUACCGGUGGCGAAGGCGACCACCUGGCCAAAUACUGACGCUGAGGUG
RNAcentral lists this ribosomal RNA (230 nucleotides) under uncultured microorganism. RNAcentral's name for it is "partial 16S ribosomal RNA". It matches the Rfam family "Bacterial small subunit ribosomal RNA", at positions 524 to 753 of the family's 1533-position model. The record is from RNAcentral.